GUGUUCACUGUGGCAGCAUAUAUACUAAAGGUGGAACAAUACAGAGAAUAUUAGCAUGGACCCUGUACAAGGAUGACUCACAAAUUCAUGAAGCAUUCCAUAUUUUC
This 107-nucleotide small nuclear RNA is filed under the name Catagonus wagneri (Chacoan peccary). The record is from RNAcentral. Lineage: Eukaryota; Metazoa; Chordata; Mammalia; Artiodactyla; Tayassuidae.